This is a long non-coding RNA of Pongo pygmaeus (Bornean orangutan), 784 nucleotides long. RefSeq lists it as uncharacterized. The transcript has 2 exons. The record is from RefSeq and is a predicted model, not a curated record. Lineage: Eukaryota; Metazoa; Chordata; Mammalia; Primates; Hominidae.
AGUUAUUUGCAUAAGUGCAAUAAUAAUCUGUUUUUAUUUGUAACAGGACACAAUUGGAGAAACUGGUUAUUCUACCAUGGCUUUGACUGGAAUGGUGUGCUUUCCUUUAAGGAAUUAAACUUGCUUUAUGAAGCCAGUAAAAGCCACAUGCCCUGUCUACACAGUCCCUGAACAGGGUUCCUGAUCUGUGGACAUGGGUAUUCUCAACCUGCUAAUAAUGAGCUACCUAUCUAGGGUAGCUAUCAGGACCUACCUAUCUAGGAAUAAACUAUCCUAGCCAUGAUAGACCCGAUGAUACCUGAGACCAGAGACUCGUUUUCUUCUAAAUUGCUUUCUCCAAAAGAUGUUUGAAAAUAAAAGGGGAAAUGUGAAAGGAAACUAUCUUGGGACCCCCAAAAUCACUCAGCUAAAGGAAAAGUCAAGCUGGCAAUGGCUUAAGGCAAACCUGCCUCCUGUUCUAUUCAAAAUCACCCCGUGCUCACUGAGAUAGAUGCAUAUCUAAUUGUCUCCUUCGGAGAGGCUCAUCAGAAACUCAAAAGAAUGCAACCAUUUGUCUCUCACCUACCUGUGACCUGGAAGCCCCCUCCCUGCUUGAGUUCUCCCACCUUUCCAGAGCGAACCAAUGUUCAUCUUACAUAUGUUGAUUGAUGUCUCAUGUCUCCCUAAAAUGUGUAAAACCAAACUAUGCUCUGACUGCCUUAGCACAUGUCACCAGGACCUUCUGAGGCUGUGUCAUGGACGCGAGUCCUCAACCUUCGCAAAAUAAACUUUCUAAAUGAACUGA